GCCAGGGUGGUAGAGAGGUUUGAGCGCUGGACUACAACUCUGGAGACCAGGAUUCGAAUCCCCACUCAGCCA
This is a non-coding RNA of Phrynosoma platyrhinos (Desert horned lizard), 72 nucleotides long. NCBI's taxonomy places the organism in Eukaryota, Metazoa, Chordata, Lepidosauria, Squamata, Phrynosomatidae. The record is from the annotation of a GenBank genome assembly.